This 465-nucleotide ribosomal RNA is filed under the name Vreelandella stevensii. RNAcentral's name for it is "partial 16S ribosomal RNA". It matches the Rfam family "Bacterial small subunit ribosomal RNA", at positions 338 to 795 of the family's 1533-position model. Lineage: Bacteria; Pseudomonadati; Pseudomonadota; Gammaproteobacteria; Oceanospirillales; Halomonadaceae. The record is from RNAcentral.
CCUACGGGUGGCUGCAGUGGGGAAUAUUGGACAAUGGGCGAAAGCCUGAUCCAGCCAUGCCGCGUGUGUGAAGAAGGCCUUCGGGUUGUAAAGCACUUUCAGUGGGGAAGAAAGCCUUGGGGCUAAUACCCUCGAGGAAGGACAUCACCCACAGAAGAAGCACCGGCUAACUCCGUGCCAGCAGCCGCGGUAAUACGGAGGGUGCGAGCGUUAAUCGGAAUUACUGGGCGUAAAGCGCGCGUAGGCGGUCUGAUAAGCCGGUUGUGAAAGCCCCGGGCUCAACCUGGGAACGGCAUCCGGAACUGUCAGGCUAGAGUGCAGGAGAGGAAGGUAGAAUUCCCGAUGUAGCGGUGAAAUGCGUAGAGAUCGGGAGGAAUACCAGUGGCGAAGGCGGCCUUCUGGACUGACACUGACGCUGAGGUGCGAAAGCGUGGGUAGCAAACAGGAUUAGAUACCCGAGUAGUC